UACGAAGGGUGCAAACGUUGCUCGGAAUUAUUGGGCGUAAAGAGCUCGUAGGCGGUUUGUCGCGUCUGCCGUGAAAGUCCGGGGCUCAACUCCGGAUCUGCGGUGGGUACGGGCAGACUAGAGUGAUGUAGGGGAGACUGGAAUUCCUGGUGUAGCGGUGAAAUGCGCAGAUAUCAGGAGGAACACCGAUGGCGAAGGCAGGUCUCUGGGCCGAAACUGACGCUGAGGAGCGAAAGCGUGGGGAGCGAACAGG
RNAcentral lists this ribosomal RNA (253 nucleotides) under uncultured bacterium. RNAcentral describes it as "partial 16S ribosomal RNA". It matches the Rfam family "Bacterial small subunit ribosomal RNA", at positions 524 to 776 of the family's 1533-position model. The record is from RNAcentral.